This 602-nucleotide ribosomal RNA is filed under the name Vibrio vulnificus. RNAcentral describes it as "bacterial SSU rRNA". It matches the Rfam family "Bacterial small subunit ribosomal RNA", at positions 1 to 591 of the family's 1533-position model. The record is from RNAcentral. Lineage: Bacteria; Pseudomonadati; Pseudomonadota; Gammaproteobacteria; Vibrionales; Vibrionaceae.
UUAAUUGAAGAGUUUGAUCAUGGCUCAGAUUGAACGCUGGCGGCAGGCCUAACACAUGCAAGUCGAGCGGCAGCACAGAGAAACUUGUUUCUCGGGUGGCGAGCGGCGGACGGGUGAGUAAUGCCUGGGAAAUUGCCCUGAUGUGGGGGAUAACCAUUGGAAACGAUGGCUAAUACCGCAUGAUAGCUUCGGCUCAAAGAGGGGGACCUUCGGGCCUCUCGCGUCAGGAUAUGCCCAGGUGGGAUUAGCUAGUUGGUGAGGUAAGGGCUCACCAAGGCGACGAUCCCUAGCUGGUCUGAGAGGAUGAUCAGCCACACUGGAACUGAGACACGGUCCAGACUCCUACGGGAGGCAGCAGUGGGGAAUAUUGCACAAUGGGCGCAAGCCUGAUGCAGCCAUGCCGCGUGUGUGAAGAAGGCCUUCGGGUUGUAAAGCACUUUCAGUCGUGAGGAAGGUGGUAGUGUUAAUAGCACUAUCAUUUGACGUUAGCGACAGAAGAAGCACCGGCUAACUCCGUGCCAGCAGCCGCGGUAAUACGGAGGGUGCGAGCGUUAAUCGGAAUUACUGGGCGUAAAGCGCAUGCAGGUGGUUUGUUAAGUCAG